Molecule: ribosomal RNA, 467 nt
Filed under: uncultured bacterium
Lineage: Bacteria
Description: partial 16S ribosomal RNA
Rfam family: Bacterial small subunit ribosomal RNA (bases 20-332)
Source: RNAcentral
GACGAACGCUGGCGGCGUGCUUAACACAUGCAAGUCGAACGGAAAGGCCCUGCUUUUGUGGGGUGCUCGAGUGGCGAACGGGUGAGUAACACGUGAGUAACCUGCCCUUGACUUUGGGAUAACUUCAGGAAACUGGGGCUAAUACCGGAUAGGAGCUCCUGCUGCAUGGUGGGGGUUGGAAAGUUUCGGCGGUUGGGGAUGGACUCGCGGCCUAUCAGCUUGUUGGUGGGGUAGUGGCUUACCAAGGCUUUGACGGGUAGCCGGCCUGAGAGGGUGACCGGCCCAUGUGGAGUGGGGGACAGGCCCGACCUCAGCGGGGGGGAAGAAGGGGGGGAAUAAGCACAGGGGGGGGGGGUCAGGCGCGGAACCCCAGGGGGGGGAGAGGCGGCGGUGGGGUGAUAACCCGAUUUCGCCAGUAACAGACCAGGAGGGGCGGAAAGGGGAAAAAAACCACCGGCUAACUAGUG